Gopherus evgoodei (Goodes thornscrub tortoise) is the source of this 849-nucleotide long non-coding RNA. RefSeq lists it as uncharacterized. The record is from RefSeq and is a predicted model, not a curated record. The transcript is spliced from 3 exons. NCBI's taxonomy places the organism in Eukaryota, Metazoa, Chordata, Testudines, Testudinidae.
UCCUAGCAGUACAAGGGGAACUGAUUCGCAUUUAUUUUGUUUUCAGAAGAAUGUACUGGUUUCAGAAGGAUUCCUGGUUUCUAUUCCUGACUCUGUCUUGGUUAGAUGUAAGUGUCAAUUCUCAAAGGACUGCUGGAUGGGCUUGUGCUCAGAGGGAGACUUAACACCUGAGCCAGAUGAGGAAGAGGGCUUGGGAUGACUUGCUGAAUGAGAUCCUGCAAGCCAGUGCUGCAACAAACCGUGAGCACAGGGCCUGUGCUUUGAACAUUACAGACAGUUUGGAGAAGGAAACAGUGUAGAGGAGAAAGACUAGGGUGAUCAGACAGCAGGUGUGAAAAAUCAGGACAUGGGGUGGGGGCUAAUAGACAUCUGUAUAAGAAAAAGCCCCAAAUAUCAGGUCUAUCCCUAUAAAAUCGGGACAUCUGGUCUCCCUAAGGAAUAUCCAUGAGUCCCAGCAGAAAAUGAAGAGACAGAUGCACCAGGACAUAAUGGGAACAUCUCCAGCAGCAAAUACAGAAACUGCAGACUCUUGUGGACAUACAGAUUCAGCAAUCAUGGGCUCAUCUUGCUUUAUAGUCCAUGGAGAACUCCAUUUUAGCACCUCCCUAGGAUCCUCCCCCCCUCAACAUUCCAUGUGGCAGCAGGGGCCACAUCCCUACCACUCCACUCUGGGGGACAUUAAGGACAACUACAGCUUCCCAUACGCUGACCUGUGAAAGCCAGGGACGCUGUAUGUGUAGCUAAAAUGGACAUAACUGUUCUUUCCUCUUGAUAAGGUUGGCUUAGCUCAGGGGUAGGCAACCUAUGGCACGCGAGCCGAAGGCAGCACGCGAGCUGAUUUUCAGUGGC